Molecule: long non-coding RNA, 3529 nt
Organism: Chinchilla lanigera (long-tailed chinchilla)
Lineage: Eukaryota; Metazoa; Chordata; Mammalia; Rodentia; Chinchillidae
Source: Ensembl
UGAGCAUUCAAAAAUGACCAUUCAGUUAUGUUUUCCAUUGCCUUGGCAGAAGUCUGAUUGGGUAUUAAAAUAAUUACCGACUACCUUUGCUUUCUGACAGUUGGAUAUUUUUUACUUCAAAGGCAAAUCCCUCUUGAAGUAAUAGAACAACAUGCUUAGAAGUGUGGAGUGCAAUAGAGCUGAAAAAUGAAAAACCAACAGGCUGAGAUGCUGGCUUCUUCCAGAAGGGCAAGAAAAAGGUAUCCGUGUGUGCCUGUGCACUUUGGCGGAACAAGGCCCUGGAAGGAGGAGCACUGCUUCCUGAGAGGCCCCACUGAACCGGCAGUUGGAAGCAGACCUGACCUGGACUGGGAGAGUCUUGUGCAACAGGGGCACUUUCCCGAGAGGCUCCUCCUGCAGUCAUGCCUGACAUGUCUUGGAUCUCCGCUCUCCAGCAUGUAGUGUGCCUGCUUUGCCCGGUCAACUGCGUUACACACCCAGUGAAUCAGUGUGGAGGCGUAUGUCACUUCUGGGAUUCAUCACACUUCUCUCCAUUUACCCCCCUAAAGAGUUGUUAAAAUAGAAGAGGUUCUGCUCUCCGCGCAGUGUCAGUGUAAGGAGAAAAUCUGAGAUUUAUCUUAUUGUUCAGAAAUAGAAGUGUUGGAUAAUUUGAAACUAACUCUUUUACUGGCUUUUCAGCCAUAGUCCUUUGCGCUUCUUUUCCUCCAGGGAUUCUGUAUUAUAAAGUUACUAAAAAGUAUUUUGAACUAUUAAGUGAACUAUUUCAUGUGUAAUAAUAGAGACUAGUGUUUAAUGUUAAUUAAUCACUCUCAGAUGGUUGUGUGGUAGGCUUACUAAUGCUCAACCAGUAACACCCAGCCGACUUGAAUCAGCCGCACCACUGGGUGUGGAAGGUCCCCCGAGGAUUGCGGCGAACAGUGUAAAAGGAGACCUGGAGUGGAAGACGGGGCGCUGUUGAUUCUCCCAGAGAAGCGUGUCAGGAGGGCUUUUCUGAUAUGAACUGAGCUGUUUUCAUUAUCAGAGGAGCUCUGGUCCUCCCUGUCUCCGAUGAUGGCUAUAGUUCUUUCUGUAGGAACUUUGUUCCUUACUCUGAGCAUUGCUUCCUGGCUUCAGUGAAGAUUCUUCAGUCUGCUGGCAUAGAUCCUUCAUCCCACUUACACAGAUGUUCUAGUCCAAACCAUUGACCUUUGGGGCUUCUCAGGGCAGAUCCUUGAUACAGACUUGCAUGAGACAUUGUUGUAGACCCUCGGCCUCCAACUGGACUCUUGGAGGAUAUUGCCAUGGGCUUUAAGUCUUCAGCUGGACUCAUGCAGGACAUUGCUGUAGGAUUCUUUGGGUCUCUGGUGUGCAGAUGGAUCUCCCCUUUUGCAUUUGACUCUCUAGGUGAACACUGUAAAAAUAAUUCUAUAAAGCAUGUGUCCUGUACUAAACCUAUUUCCUUGGAAACCCUGACUACAACAGGUUGCCGUUAUUUUCAGAAAUAUGUUUAAGUGCAGUGCCAGAGAGCAAGGGGCUGCAGACCAGAUAUGGACUCCCAAAUUAAACCUCGGUGUUCAGUCAGAAACAACUAUAAAUGAGCUUCACUAAUUACCUGGAUGUCUUCCAAACCAGUUGACAGUUAAAUUUAACUAUGGCAAAAGAAAUAUGAGAAGGUACCUAACUUAUAUGUGUGUGUAUGUGUUUGUGUGAUCACUUUAUUUAAUAUCAUUCUAGUCUUGAAUAACUUACGUCCAGUGGGAAAGCAGAAUAAUGUUUGAUGAGGUUGACUGUUAUAUUCAGUGAGGGUAAGAAAAUGUACAUACUUAAAGAUGAGCCCAGGCAUGGUGGCACACAUCUGUAAUCCCAGCACUAGGGAGGCUGAGGCAGGAAGAUCGUUGCAAGUUUGAGACCAGUUUGGGCUACAAAGUGAGCUCAAGUACAGCCUAAAGUGCAUAGCAAAACCCUGUCUCCAAAAAUAAAGAUAUUUAAAGAUGAACAAGAAAAUUGUUUAAUGUAUUAAACUCAUUCAUUUUAUCUUAUACAUAGUGAAAUAAAGAUAUUUGUUCUCAUAUAUGGUUUUAUAUUUGAAUACAUCAUACAACUUUUAGCUAGGAAUCAAAUUUAAAAUGAUGUUUAUUGAUAUUCUGUUUUUAUAUUAACCUAAAUUGAUCUCUAAAACUCAUUCAAUACUUUAAUCUUCUCCAGACCAACUGAUAUAUUACCAAAAAUAUUAAAUUUCUAUCAAGUGCAACUAUGAAAGAAUGAUGAGAAACUUGCCCAUAUUAUAGUACUUGAAAUAGUGAAAAAUGAGAAAUCGCCUGUAUUAUACCACUCAGACUUAUCUGAUGAAUCAAAAUUAGAUCUUGGAGGGAAAUUUCUAGAAAUAAAUGCAUAAAAGAAAGAUAUAAAAUAUAUAACAUAUUACACAUCAGAGAACUAGAAGAUAAACAAAGUAAGCUCAAAGUUAGAUGGAAGGAAAUAAGAAUAACUAAAGCCAAAGUACUAGUAAGAAAAAUAGGAAACAAACACAUAAUCAAAAAGAUCAAUGAAACUGAAGAUUGAAAGCUAAAAACAAUUGAAAAAAAGUCUCUAGCCUAAAAAAAACAGUGUAAAGGCAGAAAGAAAUAAUUGCAUCUUUAACUCAAUAGUGAUACUGGAGAGGAGCAUGUAUCAAUUUCCACAUAUUUGUGACUUUCUGAGUGUUCUCAUUUCUGUGCACUUUUAGUUUCAUCCCUCUUCUUAAAUUGUUAUUGCUUGUUUCAUAGUCUAACAUAUGAUUGGUCACGGAGGAUGGUCCACGUACUUUUGAGAAGAAUACACAUUCUGUUGCUGCUGGGUGGAAUGUUCUGUGUAUGAUCAUCAGAUAUAUCAAGUCGAAUGCAUAGUUCAUGCCCAAAGCUUGUGUAUUGGUUUCAUGUCUAGAUGACGUUACUAUAGGCACAUAAUUCAGAUUAAAAUGAAAUUACAGUCAGAGGGGGACAGACCUCUCAAGGAAGUUAGUGACAAGUAAACACAUGAGAAAUGUGGCUGGAGGCAUCUCUGAAGAAGGUCAGGCCACAAGAGAAAGAUGCAGUGUUCAGGCCUACAUGCCUACCUGAGGGAUAAACAGUAAUGUGGAACUAUUCAAUAGUGGCAUCACCUAGUCUAGUAACGUAUUACAGCAUCACCCCAUCUAGAAAAGUCCUGAUAAACAUCAGACACCCAGGUGGGUUACCAGAGCACCCAGACCUAUCCCUUCCCAAAAAAGUCCUUACUCUUUCCAGGCACCCUUGCUAUGUGAUUCACUUCCCUAUUAGCUCAAUACUAGCUAAGCAGCUGUACUUGUAAUCUUUCAGGCUGAUUAUAGUUUGGCCCACAUUGUAUCAAAAUUUUGACUUUGCUGUAUAAAUUACCCCUGACAAAGGACUUUGGUCACAACUCAAUUUCAGGAUUUUUUUGUGUCUUUAAGAGCUACAUCUCAAUAAAACUUUCUACUUUUAAACUCCAUUGUCCUUUGAAAUUCAUUCUUUGGUUUCAGGAGUUACGAACUAGGUACAUCUGAUAUCUAACA